Molecule: long non-coding RNA, 482 nt
Filed under: Heterocephalus glaber (naked mole-rat)
Lineage: Eukaryota; Metazoa; Chordata; Mammalia; Rodentia; Bathyergidae
Description: lncRNA (ENSHGLG00100046287.1)
Source: RNAcentral
CUUCGCCCCCCAGGGCCGGGGGGGAGGUAAAUUUAGCUUCAGGAAGCUCCGGGGAACAGGUUCCAAAACUCCACGUCUCGCAGCGGGCUAGACGGACCCCUGUGCGCAGCCCUCCCCGGCCGGCCACCAGGCGGCGCAGGUCCCCGGCCCCUGGGAGCCAGCCUGCUGGGAGUUAGGGUCGCUACUUUGAUUUUUUGUUUGUUUUUUUGAGUUAGGGUCUCGCUGUGUAGUUCAGGCUGGCCUUGAACUUGUGGCAAUCCUCCUGCCUCAGUCUCCCUCCCGAAUGCGCACUACACCCAGCGGGCGUCGCUGCUUUGAAGCUGGAGUAGGUAAAGGGCAGAGAGCUGACCAGUGAACAACAGCUGGAAGAAUGAGUCCUCCUCACCAAGGCUGCUUCUCCUGAGCGGGGUGCUCUGGCAGCUGCAGCUGGAGGCCUGCUUCCUUCCUGAGCUGGGGAUGAGCUGCAGCUCCCCAUGCUCCUU